RNAcentral lists this ribosomal RNA (902 nucleotides) under marine metagenome. RNAcentral's name for it is "bacterial SSU rRNA". It matches the Rfam family "Bacterial small subunit ribosomal RNA", at positions 8 to 915 of the family's 1533-position model. The record is from RNAcentral.
AGAGUUUGAUCAUGGCUCAGAACGAACGUUGGCGGCGUGCUUAAUACAUGCAAGUCGAGCGAGAAACGGUUCUUCGGAACCGGAGUAAAGCGGCGAAAGGGUGAGUAAUACAUAGAUAACGUACCCCUCGGCUCGGGAUAACCCCACGAAAGCGGGACUAAUACCGAAUAACGACGGAAGAGGACAUCCUCUUCUGUCCAAAGGAUUGCGAAAGCUUUCUUCCGGAGGAGCGGUCUAUGGCCUAUCAGCUAGUUGGUGGGGUAAUGGCCUACCAAAGCGGAGACGGGUAGCCGGACUGAGAGGUUGAACGGCCACAUGGGAACUGAGACACGGUCCCAACACCUACGGGUGGCAGCAGUAGGGAAUCUUGCACAAUGGGCGAAAGCCUGACGCAGCGACGCCGCGUGGGGGAUGACGGCCUUCGGGUUGUAAACCCCUUUCAUGUGGGAAGAAUAAUGACUUAACCACAGGAAGAAGCACCGGCUAACUCAGUGCCAGCAGCUGCGGUAAUACUGAGGGUGCAAACGUUGUUCGGAUUCACUGGGCGUAAAGCGCGCGUAGGCGGUUCGGCAAAUCGGUUGUGAAAUCCUCCUGCCUAACGGGAGAAUUGCUGCCGAAAAUACCGGGCUAGAGGUUGUCAGGGGCAAGUGGAACUCUUGGUGGAGCGGUGGAAUGCGUAGAUAUCAAGAGGAACGCCGGAGGCGAAAGCGACUUGCUGGGGCAAUUCUGACGCUGAGGUGCGAAAGCUAGGGGAGCAAACAGGAUUAGAUACCCUGGUAGUCCUAGCCGUAAACGAUGCACACUAAGUGGAGGGUGGGUUAACCUCUCUCUGCUGCAGCUAACGCAUUAAGUGUGCCGCCUGGGGAGUACGGCCGCAAGGUUAAAACUCAAAUGAAUUGACG